Molecule: ribozyme, 72 nt
Filed under: Rodentolepis nana
Lineage: Eukaryota; Metazoa; Platyhelminthes; Cestoda; Cyclophyllidea; Hymenolepididae
Description: Hymenolepis nana HDV ribozyme from F. prausnitzii
Rfam family: HDV ribozyme from F. prausnitzii
Source: Rfam by way of RNAcentral
GGGGUGCGCAAUAGACUUACCUCCACGUGGUGCAUCCUAGGCAACGUAUACUUAUACGGUAAAAAGGUCUAU